RNAcentral lists this long non-coding RNA (206 nucleotides) under Elaeis guineensis (African oil palm). RNAcentral's name for it is "long non-coding RNA (EGUI_LNC012894)". Lineage: Eukaryota; Viridiplantae; Streptophyta; Magnoliopsida; Arecales; Arecaceae. The record is from RNAcentral.
UGCCUAUCAUGGCCACUCCACCUGGCCGAACUCCGAACACUUUCGAUUGUUUUUCUGAGAUACCUCCCUCGGCUGCUACACCGUCGAACCUCUCUCAGCCCUGCACCACUAGGGAUGUGCUAUUGUAGCACUCUAGUGCUCCUUGCCUCGACCUUUGUACCAUCCUGAGAUGUUCCCCAACCCCUCUAUCGAGACCUCCCUUGAGA